Molecule: transfer-messenger RNA, 372 nt
Filed under: Cohaesibacter marisflavi
Lineage: Bacteria; Pseudomonadati; Pseudomonadota; Alphaproteobacteria; Hyphomicrobiales; Cohaesibacteraceae
Description: Cohaesibacter sp. DQHS-21 Alphaproteobacteria transfer-messenger RNA
Rfam family: Alphaproteobacteria transfer-messenger RNA
About the family: Bacterial tmRNA, also known as 10Sa RNA or SsrA, is named for its dual tRNA and mRNA-like properties. Its role is to liberate the mRNA from a stalled ribosome.
Source: Rfam by way of RNAcentral
CCACUUUAAAUUUACAGGAAGCCACCCUAUAUUCGCGUUGUCACGCAGGUGACUAUGGCAAUAAAUGGCCUUUGUAAUAAGCCUAUCGGACCCGGGGGCGGUACCCGGCGCCUCCACCAAAAGCACCGCUUUUGACCAUUUUGCAAAACACGGUGUUUUUGCUGGGGGCGAACUAGGAUCGACGAGGGUGUAAAGAUCGUGCUUUUGCCCGGCAUUGUACCACCGUUAUCGGGCUAAUUGAGUAGUUGCAAAUGACAACUAUGCAGGCUCUCGUCUCGCUGCUGCUUAAGCAGUGCGACUAGCCACUAAAGCCCUAGUCGGUAUGCUCGGCUAGGCGGGGUUCGGGGGCACCUGGCAACAGAAGCCCUCACU